CUGGGCGUAAAGCGCGCGUAGGUGGUCUGUUAAGUCGGAUGUGAAAGCCCCGGGCUCAACCUGGGAACUGCAUCCGAUACUGGCAGACUAGAGUGCGGGAGAGGGAGGUAGAAUUCCACGUGUAGCGGUGAAAUGCGUAGAUAUGUGGAGGAAUACCAGUGGCGAAGGCGGCCUCCUGGCUCGACACUGACACUGAGGUGCGAAAGCGUGGGUAGCAAACAGGAUUAGAUACCCUGGUAGUCCACGCCGUAAACGAUGUCUACUAGCUGUAGGGGUACUUGAGACCUUUGUAGCGCAGCUAACGCACUAAGUAGACCGCCCGGGGAGUACGGCCGCAAGGUUAAAACUCAAAUGAAUUGACGGGGGCCCGCACAAGCAGUGGAGCAUGUGGUUUAAUUCGAUGCAACGCGAAGAACCUUACCAGGCCUUGACAUCCUCGGAACUUUCUAGAGAUAGAUUGGUGCCUUCGGGAACCGAGUGACAGGUGCUGCAUGGCUGUCGUCAGCUCGUGUCGUGAGAUGUUGGGUUAAGUCCCGUAACGAGCGCAACCCUUGUCCUUAGUUGCCAGCACAUUAUGGUGGGAACUCUAAGGAGACUGCCGGUGACAAACCGGAGGAAGGUGGGGACGACGUCAAGUCAUCAUGGCCCUUACGGCCUGGGCUACACACGUGCUACAAUGGCUAGGACAGACGGCCGCAAACCCGCGAGGGGGAGCCAAUCCGACAAACCUAGUCGUAGUCCGGAUCGGAGUCUGCAACUCGACUCCGUGAAGUCGGAAUUGCUAGUAAUCGCGAAUCAGAAUGUCGCGGUGAAUACGUUCCCGGGCCUUGUACACACCGCCCGUCACACCAUGGGAGUGGGUUGCUCCAGAAGUGGUUAGUCUAACCUUCGGGAGGACGAUCACCACGGAGUGAUUCAUGACUGGGGUGAAGUCGUAACAAGGUAGCCGUA
RNAcentral lists this ribosomal RNA (951 nucleotides) under uncultured bacterium. Its description in RNAcentral is "bacterial SSU rRNA". It matches the Rfam family "Bacterial small subunit ribosomal RNA", at positions 554 to 1504 of the family's 1533-position model. The record is from RNAcentral.